GUAGGGAAUAUUGCACAAUGGGCGAAAGCCUGAUGCAGCAACGCCGCGUGCACGAUGAAGACCUUCGGGUUGUAAAGUGCUUUUAAGAAGGACGAGGAAGGACGGUACUUCUAGAAUAAGGAUCGGCUAACUACGUGCCAGCAGCCGCGGUAAUACGUAGGAUCCGAGCGUUAUCCGAAUUUACUGGGCGUAAAGCGUGUGUAGGCGGUUUGAUAAGUUGGAUGUGAAAGCUCCCGGCUCAACUGGGAGAGGCCGUUCAAUACUGUCGAGCUAGAGGGCGACAGAGGGAGGUGGAAUUCCCGGUGUAGUGGUGAAAUGCGUAGAUAUCGGGAGGAACACCAGUGGCGAAAGCGGCCUCCUGGGUCGCACCUGACGCUCAGACGCGAAAGCUAGGGGAGCGAACGGGAUUAGAAACCCUAGUAGUCC
Molecule: ribosomal RNA, 426 nt
Filed under: uncultured bacterium
Lineage: Bacteria
Description: bacterial SSU rRNA
Rfam family: Bacterial small subunit ribosomal RNA
Source: RNAcentral